UACGUAGGGGGCUAGCGUUGUCCGGAUUUAUUGGGCGUAAAGAGCGUGUAGGCGGCCAGGUAGGUCUGGUGUGAAAACUCGAGGCUUAACCUCGAGAUGUCAUCGGAAACCAUCUGGCUAGAGUCCGGAAGAGGAGAGUGGAAUUCCUGGUGUAGCGGUGAAAUGCGCAGAUAUCAGGAAGAACACCUAUGGCGAAGGCAGCUCUCUGGGACGGUACUGACGCUGAGACGCGAAAGCGUGGGGAGCGAACAGG
This 253-nucleotide ribosomal RNA is filed under the name uncultured bacterium. Its description in RNAcentral is "partial 16S ribosomal RNA". It matches the Rfam family "Bacterial small subunit ribosomal RNA", at positions 524 to 776 of the family's 1533-position model. The record is from RNAcentral.